CCUACGGGCGGCAGCAGUGGGGAAUAUUGGACAAUGGGGGCAACCCUGAUCCAGCCAUGCCGCGUGUGUGAAGAAGGCCCUCGGGUUGUAAAGCACUUUCAGUGAGGAAGAACGCCUGGUGGUUAAUACCCAUCAGGAAAGACAUCACUCACAGAAGAAGCACCGGCUAACUCCGCGCCAGCAGCCGCGGUAAUACGGAGGGUGCGAGCGUUAAUCGGAAUUACUGGGCGUAAAGCGCGCGUAGGUGGCUUGAUAAGCCGGUUGUGAAAGCCCCGGGCUCAACCUGGGAACGGCAUCCGGAACUGUCAAGCUAGAGUGCAGGAGAGGAAGGUAGAAUUCCCGGUGUAGCGGUGAAAUGCGUAGAGAUCGGGAGGAAUACCAGUGGCGAAGGCGGCCUUCUGGACUGACACUGACACUGAGGUGCGAAAGCGUGGGUAGCAAACAGGAUUAGAUACCCUUGUAGUC
This 465-nucleotide ribosomal RNA is filed under the name Vreelandella stevensii. RNAcentral's name for it is "partial 16S ribosomal RNA". It matches the Rfam family "Bacterial small subunit ribosomal RNA", at positions 338 to 795 of the family's 1533-position model. Lineage: Bacteria; Pseudomonadati; Pseudomonadota; Gammaproteobacteria; Oceanospirillales; Halomonadaceae. The record is from RNAcentral.